Molecule: ribosomal RNA, 485 nt
Filed under: uncultured bacterium
Lineage: Bacteria
Description: partial 16S ribosomal RNA
Rfam family: Bacterial small subunit ribosomal RNA
Source: RNAcentral
ACUCAAAGGAAUAGACGGGGGCCCGCACAAGCAGCGGAGCGUGUGGUUUAAUUCGAGGCUACGCGAAGAACCUUACCAGGGUUUGACAUGCUGGUGGUAGGGAGGAGAAAUCUGACCGACCCUUCGGGGAGCCAGCACAGGUGCUGCAUGGCUGUCGUCAGCUCGUGCCGUGAGGUGUUAGGUUAAGUCCUGUAACGAGCGCAACCCUCGUCGCUAGUUACAAGUGUCUAGCGAGACUGCCGGUGAUAAGCCGGAGGAAGGUGGGGAUGACGUCAAGUCAGCAUGGCCUUUAUAUCCUGGGCGACACACACGCUACAAUGGCCGGUACAAUGGGUAGCGAAACCGCGAGGUGGAGCCAAUCCCGCAAAGCCGGUCUCAGUUCGGAUUGUAGGCUGAAACUCGCCUGCAUGAAGUCGGAGUUGCUAGUAACCGCGCGUCAGAACAGUGCGGUGAAUACGUUCCCGGGCCUUGUACACACCGCCCGU